UUUUACCCCACUAGAACUCUUUGCUAAAUCAGAAGGCUCAAGUGACAGAAGAUUGAAAACCCUCUCUUCUCCAAUUCUUCAAGUCCUCUUUCUCUCACAUAAUCCAUGGCGGCCUCUCUACAUAUGAGCAGAAGAACUUGAAGCUCGAGCUCCUUCGACCCAUGAAUAGGUGAAGAGGAUUUGGUCGGUGCUUAACAUAGAUGACGAAGAACCCAUCGCAGCAGUCCAGCUCCAAAGCUGAUUCUCUCCCGAAAGCAACCAGCACCGCCACCACCUUGAUGAUGUCAUUUUGCCCAUUCUUCCUGCGAAGAAGAGAAAGGAGACUAGGGACCAGCCCAUUCUCCCUAACCCAACUCCUGCCACCUUCACCGUCACCACCUAUUUGUUGUCGGCGAAGAAGAGGGUGUGGGCACUUCCACCCGAUUUGUUCCCCGAGAAGCCAGUUUCAGAGCUGGAUUGAAUCUUGAGUACAAGCCGGAUCUCGGGGAAGAGUUAGAGGCUGGUGGAGAAACUGUUGAGUGAUAGCGGUUCUGGAGUCAAUACUCGGAUAAUAGUUCAGCUUUGACUAGCUCCAUAAUAUUCUGUAUGGUGAUGCUAAAGGAUGGUUUAAAAGAACCUGUUCUUUUCUGUAUCCAUAUGUUCUCGGAGUUGUGAACCCUGAUGCUAAAGUUGUACGAGGAUGGAACAAGUUCUUUGUCAUAUCUGUAAUAGAGAUAGUAGACCAACCAUAUAAAAUUGCUCUCAAUUAUCUCCAUGGAAGCUUUUUAGUCGACUUAAUUAUUGUUUUGCCACUUCCUCAGGUAAGCUCUCACUUUAAAUUGUUUGGAUAUGCUUGAUGUGCAAUUGUUUAAAUUUGAUCAUUAUACAAAUGUCAAAUACAAGUCAAUGCAUCGAACUUUAUAACCCUAAGAUUACUUAUCUUUAUCCUGUUUUCAUUAGCUGUUCAUCAAAUUUUUUUUUCUACAGACACCGCAUAUGAUGGGUUUUAGCUUUGAUUCAUUUCUACUGUUGUUGUUGUUGUUAUGAGCUAGUUGGUUUAAAUUCUUGUUCAGAUCAUAAUGUUGUCGGUUGUUCCUUUAGGAUCGUUUUGAGCAAAUCAAACAAAGAAUCUUCUCCGCCUGGCAGACUCUAUUUCAAUAUUUUCCCAGGUUGUAUAGGGUUCUGCCCCUGCUUGCUGGUCAAUCUCCAAAUGGCUUCUUUGUAUUCGAGUCAGCUUGGACAAAUUUUUUUAUAAGCACUCUCGCUUUUUUGUUGGUUGGCCAUGUUAUUGGGUCAUGCUAGUACCUCCUUGGCUUACAGGUGUGUGGAGUUCCUUUCCUUCUCUAACCUAAAUAUGCAGAUUCCCUUAUUUGUUUGAUAAUACAUUUGUAAUCUUUCUUGUUCCAAAGGGUUAACCAAUGUCUUCGAGAUGCCUGCCAUAACUCUAAUCUGCAGUCAUGCGGGAGUUUAAUAGAUUGUUGCAAUGCUCAAUCUAUUCCAGAGUCAACUAAAUGGAGAGAAAAUGAGGAGGUUGCUGGUUGUUUUAAUCCGGAAGGAGAUUUCUCCUAUGGAGUAUAUACUCCAGUUGUCAAUCUCACUACAAGAGAUAGCAUGACUAAAUAUUUAUACUCACUGUUUUGGGGAUUCCAGCAAAUCAGUACUCUGGCAGGAAAUCAAACUCCAAGCUAUGUUAAUGGAGAAAUUGUUUUUACCAUGAGCAUUGUCAGUCAUGGGGUUGAAAAGCCAGCUAUCCAGUGAUGAAGAACUUCUGGUUGUUCGUCUUUGGAAGGGUCUUCAAUGCUGCUGCUAUAGUGAUUCAAGAUUAUGAUGCAAUUGUGAACAAGUAAAAGUUGGCAUCAAACAUAAUAUGAAGAUAUUUAAAAGGCCACAGCAUGGAUCACUGACCAUUUAUCUUUUGCAAUCAACAAAGACGAUUCUAAUCUAGGAUGCUCUCUAUUAAUCUAGAAUGUUUUACAUUUUAAGACGGUGAUGAUAAAUUGUUGGUUUAAUUAAGUUGUUUUUAUAUAGUAUUGUUGUUGGCAUAUUAAUUUACAUUUUGUAAUGUGAUAUUGCAGUUUGUUAUCUCUCUUUUCAUCUCAAUAAAUUGUAUAGAUUUAUAUAGA
This is a long non-coding RNA of Rosa chinensis, 2102 nucleotides long. RefSeq lists it as uncharacterized. The record is from RefSeq and is a predicted model, not a curated record. The transcript has 6 exons. Lineage: Eukaryota; Viridiplantae; Streptophyta; Magnoliopsida; Rosales; Rosaceae.